This 228-nucleotide ribosomal RNA is filed under the name uncultured Bacteroides sp. RNAcentral's name for it is "partial 16S ribosomal RNA". It matches the Rfam family "Bacterial small subunit ribosomal RNA", at positions 383 to 607 of the family's 1533-position model. The record is from RNAcentral. Lineage: Bacteria; Pseudomonadati; Bacteroidota; Bacteroidia; Bacteroidales; Bacteroidaceae.
CUGAACCAGCCAAGUAGCGUGUAGGAUGAAGGGUCCUACGGAUUGUAAACUUCUUUUAUACGGGAAUAAAGUAUCCUACGUGUAGGAUUUUGUAUGUACCGUAUGAAUAAGCAUCGGCUAACUCCGUGCCAGCAGCCGCGGUAAUACGGAGGAUCCGAGCGUUAUCCGGAUUUAUUGGGUUUAAAGGGAGCGUAGGUGGAUUGUUAAGUCAGUUGUGAAAGUUUGCGG